Molecule: non-coding RNA, 729 nt
Organism: Gasterosteus aculeatus aculeatus (three-spined stickleback)
Lineage: Eukaryota; Metazoa; Chordata; Actinopteri; Perciformes; Gasterosteidae
Source: RefSeq, a predicted model, not a curated record
UCCGGCGUUUCUUCAUUUUUGAACACAACAUAGUUGUGACGGGUAGUGUCAAGGGGUUGAGCUGACGUCAUCAAUGAGCGGCCUAUUUUACGGGCCGUCUCCCGUUCUCUAGCAGUCCGCUGAGAGGAGAGUAACAGGUUUUGCCGGCCGAGUGGAGCCCCGUCGGACGUCGUUGGGGAGGGUUUAGCUCCUCAGCCUUUCCAGGUGGCGCACAAACUGCUGUUUUGCCGUAUCCGGGUACGAGUAGUGAUUAGCGAUUGUAAACAGCUGAUAUCCAUUGUAUGCGUCCCGCGCUCCGGUUUUGUUUCGGGUACUUGCCUACUGUUGUUUUUAUUUAUUUCGAGCGGGGGAUGCCCGAUGUGUGGAGGAAUAGCGUGGGUAUUUUCUUAGAUCAGAUUUUAGCAUGUGGCGUGAUAUUGCAUGAACUGUUUUUAACGCACUUUGUUUUGACUGUGUGUGUGUGUGUGUGUGUGUGUGUGUGUGUGUGUGUGUGUGUGUGUGUGUGUGUGUGUGUUGCGCGGUGUGUGUGUUGCGCGGUGCGUGUGUUGCGCGGUUGCACAGGUGAUUAGAUGAACUGGGGGAUUCGCUGUGUCCACAGUGACGCUCGCCGUAUUUAGCGACCCGGGCAAGUACACAGAUUGUUCGUGAUAAGCUGUCAGCCAAAUUAGAAUAGGUUUACGGUGUUUGUUUUUUACUGCUGUACUAAUAAAUUAUUGUUUUGUACCACAA